RNAcentral lists this transfer RNA (76 nucleotides) under Gammaproteobacteria bacterium. RNAcentral's name for it is "tRNA-Lys". It matches the Rfam family "tRNA". From Rfam's summary of the family: Transfer RNA (tRNA) molecules are approximately 80 nucleotides in length. The record is from RNAcentral. RNAcentral also lists the same sequence under 5 other names. Lineage: Bacteria; Pseudomonadati; Pseudomonadota; Gammaproteobacteria.
GGGACGUUAGCUCAGUCGGUAGAGCAGCGGACUUUUAAUCCGUUGGUCGGCGGUUCGAAUCUGCCACGUCCUACCA